AGGGUGAUUAUUAUUCCACUGACUGGAGUCCUCCUUCAAAAACGAGUGAAGGUACAGGUUUAUUUCUUCCAUAUAAUUUUAAUUUGAUAUUGGUAUUUUAUUAUUUAAUCAUAAUAAUAUAAAUAAAAAUGAAUAAAAAGGAGUAUGAAUUUACAGUGACAGUAUUUUGUCACAAGUUUUAUUAAAUACACGCCAGGUAUAAUAUUGCUUUUCCAACUUUAUUUUAUAUCAGACAUGUUGUAAAUUAUUUAAUACAUGAUGAUCUUCUUAAUCAUACAUCAAACUCAUUAAUACUUCAUGAGUAAAUUAGCCAGCCAUAUUACUUUAUUUUGCUUACAUGAUAAUUCUGGAUACCUGAUGCAACAUAUUGAUCCAAUCUUAUGACUGGAUCGAAAUUAAUUCAGUCCUUGGACUGGAUGAAAAUGAAUUCACCUCACUUUAAGUAGUAUUAUAUUUCAAGUCUACGCAAUUUGCGAGUACGAGGCGAAGCCAAUCAGGACUGGAUCAAAAUGCGAGGACUUGAAAUCUAGUCCAGUCCGAAUUGGAGGAUUUUAAAUAUUACUUCAAAUUUUAGGUCAAGUUACAGAUCAAGUUCCAACUGACGUUCCAGGCAAUGAUGGUGGUUCAAAAAACUAUCUUAUUGGAAUGGCAGUUGCAAUUUUGGUGGUUAUUUUAGUUGUUAUUAUCGCUUUCUAUAUUAACUGUAAAAAUCGUCGAUGCAAAUCAUCAAGAACCGAAGCAAAGGUGGAGAAGACAAAUGAUGUAAGUAAUCCACAAUAUAUUUAUGAUGAUGACGGCAAUUAUGAACAAGUAGACGAUGAACAGUCGACGUAUACAGCUCUCAAUAAGCCUGGGGAAGUAAUCGAUGAUCAUUUAUAUGCUCAUUUAAAUGAGGUAACACAAAAUAUGUACGCGGGUCAGAAGGAAACUGGAUUCUAAUGUCUUAUCAAUGCAUAGUUAAUCAAGAUAUGGUCUGCAAUAAAUUUCAAAGUGUCUACAGUGAACUAGGAUUUUAUGUUGGAAACACAGCUUCACUAUAAAUAAAUCUUCUCAACAUUUGCUUGUUAAUAUUUCCACUGUACGCUUGAGUGUGCCAUUGGAUGAUUGCUUCAUUGUUAUGCCAAAAAAUCAAUGUCUCGACCGUGCACAAAUUUACACAGAAAUAAACAAAAAAUGAAACAAAUUUAAAACUCUCUCCAGAUCAUAUCUUCAUUGACUAUGGUUUAGACAAAACGGCUUGUCCUUCCUUCUGUGACUUUGCUCAGCAAUUCCGCGCGAUGAAAUGUAGAUGAAUCAAUUUUGUAAUAAUAAUACAAUAAUGUAGCAGAUGUAAUUGAUACUAAUAACUAAUUGGUGUAUUCCAAUCAAGGACUUGGGAUUAAUUAGCUAAGGACUGUGCGUAAUAAUUAAGCAGAUAUAAUUGAUACUAAUAACUAAUUGAUAUAUUCUAAUUAAAGACUUGGAAUUAAUUAGCCAAGGACCGUGCGUAAUAAUUAAGCAGACAUAAUUGAUGCUAAUAACUAAUUGAUAUAUUCUAAUUAAGGACUUGGAAUUAAUUAGCCAAGGACCGUGCGUAAUAAUUAAGCAGACGUAAUUGAUACUAAUAACUAAUUGAUAUAUUCUAAUUAAGGACUUAAUUAGUCAAAGGCCAUGCGCAAUA
This 1660-nucleotide long non-coding RNA is filed under the name Paramuricea clavata. The record is from RNAcentral. Lineage: Eukaryota; Metazoa; Cnidaria; Anthozoa; Malacalcyonacea; Plexauridae.